This 330-nucleotide ribosomal RNA is filed under the name uncultured bacterium. Its description in RNAcentral is "bacterial SSU rRNA". It matches the Rfam family "Bacterial small subunit ribosomal RNA", at positions 47 to 373 of the family's 1533-position model. The record is from RNAcentral.
CCUAACACAUGCAAGUCGAACGGUAACAGGAAGCAGCUUGCUGCUUCGCUGACGAGUGGCGGACGGGUGAGUAAUGUCUGGGAAGCUGCCUGAUGGAGGGGGAUAACUACUGGAAACGGUAGCUAAUACCGCAUAAUGUCGCAAGACCAAAGAGGGGGACCUUCGGGCCUCUUGCCAUCGGAUGUGCCCAGAUGGGAUUAGCUUGUUGGUGGGGUAACGGCUCACCAAGGCGACGAUCCCUACCUGGUCUGAGAGGAUGACCAGCCACACUGGAACUGAGACCCGGUUCAGACUCCUACGGGAGGCAGCAGUGGGGAAUAUUGCUCACUG